UACGUAGGUGGCAAGCGUUGUCCGGAAUUAUUGGGCGUAAAGCGCGCGCAGGCGGUCCUUUAAGUCUGAUGUGAAAGCCCACGGCUCAACCGUGGAGGGUCAUUGGAAACUGGGGGACUGGAGUACAGAAGAGAAGAGUGGAAUUCCACGUGUAGCGGUGAAAUGCGUAGAGAUGUGGAGGAACACCAGUGGCGAAGGCGACUCUUUGGUCUGUAACUGACGCUGAGGCGCGAAAGCGUGGGGAGCAAACAGG
Molecule: ribosomal RNA, 253 nt
Filed under: uncultured bacterium
Lineage: Bacteria
Description: partial 16S ribosomal RNA
Rfam family: Bacterial small subunit ribosomal RNA
Source: RNAcentral